GAGCUUGCUUCAUCAGCACAUAUAUGAAAAUUGAAAGAAUAUAGAGAAGAUUACCACAGUCCGUGCCCAAGGAU
Molecule: small nuclear RNA, 74 nt
Filed under: Prolemur simus (greater bamboo lemur)
Lineage: Eukaryota; Metazoa; Chordata; Mammalia; Primates; Lemuridae
Source: RNAcentral